AUUGAACGCUGGCGGAAUGCUUUACACAUGCAAGUCGAACGGCAGCACGGACUUCGGUCUGGUGGCGAGUGGCGAACGGGUGAGUAAUGUAGCGGAACGUGCCCAGUCGUGGGGGAUAACGAAGUGAAAAUUACGCUAAUACCGCAUACGAUCUAUGGAUGAAAGCGGGGGAUCGCAAGACCUCGCGCGAUUGGAGCGGCCGAUAUCCGAUUAGGUAGUUGGUGGGGUAAAGGCCCACCAAGCCAACGAUCUGUAGCUGGUCUGAGAGGACGACCAGCCACACUGGAACUGAGACACGGUCCAUACUCCUACGGGAGGCAGCAGUGGGGAAUUUUGGACAAUGGGCGAAAGCCUGAUCCAGCCAUUCCGCGUGCAGGAUGAAGGCCCUCGGGUUGUAAACUGCUUUUGUACAGAACGAAAAUGUUUCUACUAAUACUAGGAGCUCAUGACGGUACUGUAAGAAUAAGCACCGGCUAACUACGUGCCAGCCGCCGCCGUAA
RNAcentral lists this ribosomal RNA (500 nucleotides) under uncultured bacterium. RNAcentral describes it as "partial 16S ribosomal RNA". It matches the Rfam family "Bacterial small subunit ribosomal RNA", at positions 30 to 523 of the family's 1533-position model. The record is from RNAcentral.